CCUACGGGCGGCAGCAGUGAGGAAUAUUGGUCAAUGGACGAGAGUCUGAACCAGCCAAGUAGCGUGAAGGAUGACUGCCCUAUGGGUUGUAAACUUCUUUUAUAUGGGAAUAAAACGUUCCACGUGUGGGAUUUUGUAUGUACCAUAUGAAUAAGGAUCGGCUAACUCCAUGCCAGCAGCCGCGGUAAUACGGAGGAUCCGAGCGUUAUCCGGAUUUAUUGGGUUUAAAGGGAGCGUAGGUGGAUUGUUAAGUCAGUUGUGAAAGUUUGCGGCUCAACCGUAAAAUUGCAGUUGAAACUGGCAGUCUUGAGUACAGUAGAGGUGGGCGGAAUUCGUGGUGUAGCGGUGAAAUGCUUAGAUAUCACGAAGAACUCCGAUUGCGAAGGCAGUUCACUGGACUGCAACUGACACUGAGGCUCGAAAGUGUGGGUAUCAAACAGGAUUAGAUACCCCGGUAGUC
This 460-nucleotide ribosomal RNA is filed under the name uncultured bacterium. Its description in RNAcentral is "partial 16S ribosomal RNA". It matches the Rfam family "Bacterial small subunit ribosomal RNA", at positions 338 to 795 of the family's 1533-position model. The record is from RNAcentral.